AUUUUCAGGCUGCACUCAGAGAAGCUGCCCUUGGCUGCUCGUAGCGCCGGGCCUUCUCUCCUCGUCAUCAUCCAGAGCAGCCAGUGUCCGGGAGGCAGAAGAUGCCCCACUCCAGCCUGCAUCCAUCCAUCCCGUGUCCCAGGGGUCACGGGGCCCAGAAGGCAGCCUUGGUUCUGCUGAGUGCCUGCCUGGUGACCCUUUGGGGGCUAGGAGAGCCACCAGAGCACACUCUCCGGUACCUGGUGCUCCACCUAGCCUCCCUGCAGCUGGGACUGCUGUUAAACGGGGUCUGCAGCCUGGCUGAGGAGCUGCGCCACAUCCACUCCAGGUGACUCACUGCAGUACCCAGGGACGGGGUAUCCAACAUGUGUCACUCCCUUGAUGCCUAGCCCUGCCCCUCCUUGAACCUCUCCGGCUGAGCUGGGCUGGGGGCUGGGGUCUGGGGUCUGGCUGUCACUCACAGGUACUGGGGCAGCUACUGGAGGACUGUGCGGGCCUGCCUGGGCUGCCCCCUCCGCCGUGGGGCCCUGUUGCUGCUGUCCAUCUAUUUCUACUACUCC
This 560-nucleotide small RNA is filed under the name Pan troglodytes (chimpanzee). Its description in RNAcentral is "retained intron". Lineage: Eukaryota; Metazoa; Chordata; Mammalia; Primates; Hominidae. The record is from RNAcentral.